ACCCAGACCGCCAGCUAAGGUCCCAAAGUCAUGGUUAAGUGGGAAACGAUGUGGGAAGGCACAGACAGCCAGGAUGUUGGCUUAGAAGCAGCCAUCAUUUAAAGAAAGCGUAAUAGCUCACUGGUCGAGUCGGCCUGCGCGGAAGAUGUAACGGGGCUAAACCAUGCACCGAAGCUGCGGCAGCGACACUAUGUGUUGUUGGGUAGGGGAGCGUUCUGUAAGCCUGCGAAGGUGUGCUGUGAGGCAUGCUGGAGGUAUCAGAAGUGCGAAUGCUGACAUAAGUAACGAUAAAGCGGGUGAAAAGCCCGCUCGCCGGAAGACCAAGGGUUCCUGUCCAACGUUAAUCGGGGCAGGGUGAGUCGACCCCUAAGGCGAGGCCGAAAGGCGUAGUCGAU
Molecule: ribosomal RNA, 395 nt
Filed under: Pseudomonas aeruginosa
Lineage: Bacteria; Pseudomonadati; Pseudomonadota; Gammaproteobacteria; Pseudomonadales; Pseudomonadaceae
Description: partial 23S ribosomal RNA
Rfam family: Bacterial large subunit ribosomal RNA
Source: RNAcentral